UACGAAGGGGGCUAGCGUUGCUCGGAAUGACUGGGCGUAAAGGGCUCGUAGGCGGUUUGGACAGUCAGAUGUGAAAUUCCUGGGCUCAACCUGGGGGCUGCAUUUGAUACGUUCGGACUAGAGUGGGGAAGAGGGUCGUGGAAUUCCCAGUGUAGAGGUGAAAUUCGUAGAUAUUGGGAAGAACACCGGUGGCGAAGGCGGCGACCUGGUCCUUGACUGACGCUGAGGCGCGAAAGCGUGGGGAGCAAACAGG
This 253-nucleotide ribosomal RNA is filed under the name uncultured bacterium. RNAcentral describes it as "partial 16S ribosomal RNA". It matches the Rfam family "Bacterial small subunit ribosomal RNA", at positions 524 to 776 of the family's 1533-position model. The record is from RNAcentral.